RNAcentral lists this ribosomal RNA (405 nucleotides) under uncultured bacterium. RNAcentral describes it as "bacterial SSU rRNA". It matches the Rfam family "Bacterial small subunit ribosomal RNA", at positions 976 to 1380 of the family's 1533-position model. The record is from RNAcentral.
AGGUCUUGACAUCCAGUAAAAGCUGUAGAGAUACAGGGUGACUUCGGUCAUACUGAGACAGGUGGUGCAUGGUUGUCGUCAGCUCGUGUCGUGAGAUGUUGGGUUAAGUCCCGCAACGAGCGCAACCCUUAUCGUCCGUUACUAACAGGCAAAGCUGAGGACUCAGACGAGACCGCCGGGGACAACUCGGAGGAAGGUGGGGACGACGUCAAAUCAUCAUGCCCCUUACGACCUGGGCUACACACGUGCUACAAUGGGUACUGACAAAGAGAAGCGAGACCGCAAGGUGGAGCGAAACUCAUAAAAGUACUCUCAGUUCGGAUUGUGGGCUGCAACCCGCCCACAUGAAGUUGGAGUUGCUAGUAAUCGCGGAUCAGCAUGCCGCGGUGAAUACGUUCCCGGGCC